This 585-nucleotide ribosomal RNA is filed under the name uncultured bacterium. RNAcentral's name for it is "partial 16S ribosomal RNA". It matches the Rfam family "Bacterial small subunit ribosomal RNA", at positions 355 to 1375 of the family's 1533-position model. The record is from RNAcentral.
UGGGGAAUUUUGGACAAUGGGCGAAAGCCUGAUCCAGCAAUGCCGCGUGUGUGAAGAAGGCCUUCGGGUUGUAAAGCACUUUUGUCCGGAAAGAAAUCCUUGGCUCUAAUACAGUCGGGGGAUGACGGUACCGGAAGAAUAAGCACCGGCUAACUACGUGCCAGCAGCCGCGGUAAUACGUAGGGUGCAAGCAUUAAUCGGAAUUACUGGGCGUAAAGCGUGCGCAGGCGGUUUGCUAAGACCGAUGUGAAAUCCCCGGGCUCAACCUGGGAACUGCAUUGGUGACUGGCAGGCUAGAGUAUGGCAGAGGGGGGUAGAAUUCCACGUGUAGCAGUGAAAUGCGUAGAGAUGUGGAGGAAUACCGAUGGCGAAGGCAGCCCCCUGGGCCAAUACUGACGCUCAUGCACGAAAGCGUGGGGAGCAAACAGGAUUAGAUACCCUGGUAGUCCACGCCCUAAACGAUGUCAACUAGUUGUUGGGGAUUCAUUUCCUUAGUAACGUAGCUAACGCGUGAAGUUGACCGCCUGGGGAGUACGGUCGCAAGAUUAAAACUCAAAGGAAUUGACGGGGUCAUAGCUGUUUCCU